RNAcentral lists this ribosomal RNA (113 nucleotides) under Pteropus alecto (black flying fox). Lineage: Eukaryota; Metazoa; Chordata; Mammalia; Chiroptera; Pteropodidae. The record is from RNAcentral.
GUCUACAGCCAUGCCACCCUGUCUGACCCUGUCUGAUCACGGAAGCUAAGCAGGGUCAGGCCUGGUUAGUACUUGGAUGGAAGACUACCUAGGAAGACAAGGUGCUGUAGGCA